UACGGGGGGAGCAAGCGUUGUUCGGAUUUACUGGGCGUAAAGGGCGCGUAGGCGGCCAGCACAAGUCAGUUGUGAAAUCUCCGAGCUUAACUCGGAAAGGUCAACUGAUACUGUGCGGCUAGAGUGCAGAAGGGGCAACUGGAAUUCUUGGUGUAGCGGUGAAAUGCGCAGAUAUCGGGAGGAACACCUAUGGCGAAGGCGGGUCUCUGGGCAGUAACUGACGCUGAGAAGCGAAAGCGUGGGGAGCGAACAGG
RNAcentral lists this ribosomal RNA (254 nucleotides) under uncultured bacterium. RNAcentral describes it as "partial 16S ribosomal RNA". It matches the Rfam family "Bacterial small subunit ribosomal RNA", at positions 524 to 776 of the family's 1533-position model. The record is from RNAcentral.